CAGUCGCCGCGGUAAUACGAAGGGUGCAGGCGUUACUCGGAAUUACUGGGCGUAAAGCGUGCGUAGGUGGUGGUUUAAGUCCGUUGUGAAAGCCCUGGGCUCAACCUGGGAAUUGCAGUGGAUACUGGGUCACUAGAGUGUGGUAGAGGAUAGUGGAAUUUCCGGUGUAGCAGUGAAAUGCGUAGAGAUCGGGAGGAACAUCAGUGGCGAAGGCGGCCAUCUGGGACAACACUGACGCUGAGGCACGAAAGCGUGGGGAGCAAACAGGAUUAGAUACCCGCGUAGUCCCUGUCUCUUAUAC
Molecule: ribosomal RNA, 301 nt
Filed under: uncultured bacterium
Lineage: Bacteria
Description: partial 16S ribosomal RNA
Rfam family: Bacterial small subunit ribosomal RNA
Source: RNAcentral